This 289-nucleotide unclassified non-coding RNA is filed under the name Hevea brasiliensis (rubber tree). Lineage: Eukaryota; Viridiplantae; Streptophyta; Magnoliopsida; Malpighiales; Euphorbiaceae. The record is from RNAcentral.
GCAAUGGGUCCUCUUCAGUCUCGGUCCCACCCUUCUUUGAACGCACCAAAGCACGCAACACUCGCGUCAAGCUCGACCUCUCCCUGCCACCGGACCCACUCAGUGCAUGCAAUGAAGAUGCCAAGUCCGCACCUCAACUCAUAGAGAAGGUCUUCAAAUUCUCCGAAGCUGCUAUCGACAAAAUUAAGUCAAAAGCUAACGCAAACCCUCCAUCCGACGGUUCAAAGCCAUUCUCCACCUUUCAAUCACUCGCAGCCCAUAUUUGGCGUCAAGUAUGCCAUGCGCGUGA